This 389-nucleotide ribosomal RNA is filed under the name uncultured bacterium. Its description in RNAcentral is "bacterial SSU rRNA". It matches the Rfam family "Bacterial small subunit ribosomal RNA", at positions 28 to 417 of the family's 1533-position model. The record is from RNAcentral.
GACGAACGCUGGCGGCGUGCUUAACACAUGCAAGUCGAGCGGUAAGGCCCUUUCGGGGGUACACGAGCGGCGAACGGGUGAGUAACACGUGGGUGACCUGCCCUCAGCUCUGGGAUAAGCCUGGGAAACUGGGUCUAAUACUGGAUAUGACUCCACGGUGCAUGUCGUGGGGUGGAAAGCCUUGUGCGGCUGAGGAUGGGCCCGCGGCCUAUCAGCUUGUUGGUGGGGGUGANGGCCUACCAAGGCGACGACGGGUAGCCGGCCUGAGAGGGCGACCGGCCACACUGGGACUGAGACACGGCCCAGACUCCUACGGGAGGCAGCAGUGGGGAAUCUUGCGCAAUGGGCGAAAGCCUGACGCAGCGACGCCGCGUGAGGGAUGACGGCCU